UGCUGGGGGAUUAGUGGCGAACGGGUGAGUAACACGUGAGUAACCUGCCCUUAACUCUGGGAUAAGCCUGGGAAACUGGGUCUAAUACCGGAUAUGACUCCUCAUCGCAUGGUGGGGGGUGGAAAGCUUUAUUGUGGUUUUGGAUGGACUCGCGGCCUAUCAGCUUGUUGGUGAGGUAAUGGCUCACCAAGGCGACGACGGGUAGCCGGCCUGAGAGGGUGACCGGCCACACUGGGACUGAGACACGGCCCAGACUCCUACGGGAGGCAGCAGUGGGGAAUAUUGCACAAUGGGCGAAAGCCUGAUGCAGCGACGCCGCGUGAGGGAUGACGGCCUUCGGGUUGUAAACCUCUUUCAGUAGGGAAGAAGCGAAAGUGACGGUACCUGCAGAAGAAGCGCCGGCUAACUACGUGCCAGCAGCCGCGGUAAUACGUAGGGCGCAAGCGUUAUCCGGAAUUAUUGGGCGUAAAGAGCUCGUAGGCGGUUUGUCGCGUCUGCCGUGAAAGUCCGGGGCUCAACUCCGGAUCUGCGGUGGGUACGGGCAGACUAGAGUGAUGUAGGGGAGACUGGAAUUCCUGGUGUAGCGGUGAAAUGCGCAGAUAUCAGGAGGAACACCGAUGGCGAAGGCAGGUCUCUGGGCAUUAACUGACGCUGAGGAGCGAAAGCAUGGGGAGCGAACAGGAUUAGAUACCCUGGUAGUCCAUGCCGUAAACGUUGGGCACUAGGUGUGGGGGACAUUCCACGUUUUCCGCGCCGUAGCUAACGCAUUAAGUGCCCCGCCUGGGGAGUACGGCCGCAAG
RNAcentral lists this ribosomal RNA (800 nucleotides) under Arthrobacter sp. Its description in RNAcentral is "bacterial SSU rRNA". It matches the Rfam family "Bacterial small subunit ribosomal RNA", at positions 82 to 892 of the family's 1533-position model. Lineage: Bacteria; Bacillati; Actinomycetota; Actinomycetes; Micrococcales; Micrococcaceae. The record is from RNAcentral.